UACGAAGGGGGCUAGCGUUGCUCGGAAUGACUGGGCGUAAAGGGCGCGUAGGCGGAUGGCACAGUCAGAUGUGAAAUUCCUGGGCUUAACCUGGGGGCUGCAUUUGAUACGUGUGAUCUGGAGUGAGGAAGAGGGUUGUGGAAUUCCCAGUGUAGAGGUGAAAUUCGUAGAUAUUGGGAAGAACACCGGUGGCGAAGGCGGCGACCUGGUCCUUAACUGACGCUGAGACACGAAAGCCAGGGGAGCGAACGGG
RNAcentral lists this ribosomal RNA (253 nucleotides) under uncultured bacterium. RNAcentral describes it as "partial 16S ribosomal RNA". It matches the Rfam family "Bacterial small subunit ribosomal RNA", at positions 524 to 776 of the family's 1533-position model. The record is from RNAcentral.